AUCCACCUGACGAGUCCUAAAUAGGACGAAACGCGCGUCCUGGAU
This is a non-coding RNA of Schistosoma rodhaini, 45 nucleotides long. The record is from Rfam. Lineage: Eukaryota; Metazoa; Platyhelminthes; Trematoda; Strigeidida; Schistosomatidae.